UGAGAACAUAGCUAGAACGUGCUGUCUGUGAGGAACAGGCCUUCACGAGAAACUGAAUCUGCUGGUGCUUUGAUCUUGGACUUCCCAGCUUCCAGAGCUGUUUUUCUGGAAACCGCUGUAAAAAAGGAAAGCAACUUCAACACGCAUUUCUAACUCAUUGAUAUGCCAAGUUCCUUUUGGAAUGAUAAGUUGCCAAGGACCAAAGCACUGUGACUUGUCAUCCCCAGUGAAUGAGAGGAAGAGGUGGUGUGGAAAGAACAUCCUGUUGUGCAGAACCUCAGUAACUAAAGUGUUGUCAUCUCACAUUAUUUUUUUUUGUCAUUAGUGCAUCUGUUUAAUCUUAUACUGCCCCUGAUACUACAUGGUUGACUUAGAUAACUAAAAUCCAGAUGAUCCAAACAAGCUGGAGCAAAAGAAAAGCAGUACAGUUUGAGCGAAUUCCUUACUUCACAGUCCUAAGUGGUAAUAGUAGCGCACGAGACAGUUCUGAGUCUCACAAGCCCCAUCUUCCAGCUCCUGAAGAUCUUGGAAUGUUAUAAUGCCAAUCCCAAUGACUUUGCCUUAGCUCACCUAUCAGACCCAUGGCAUUACCAGAAACAAUAUAGUUCUAUUUUAGAAAAAUACAUAGUUUGAGAAUAUCAAGCACUAUAGAAGCAAGUUUUCAUUAAUAACAAUACUUGAGGUCAGGCACUGUGGCUCAUGCCUGUGAUCCCCUCAAUUUGGGAAGCCAAGGUGGGUGGAUCACUUGAGCCCAGGAGUUCCAGACCAGCCUGGGCAACAUAGGGAGACCUCAUCUUUACAAAAAAAAUUAAAAAAUCAUUCAGGCAUGUUGGCAUAUACCUGUAGUCCCAGCUACUAGGGAGGCUGAGGUGGGAGGAUCAUUUUAGCCAAGGAGUUUGAGGCUACAGUAAGCCAUGAUCACACCACUACACUCAAGCCUGGGUGACACAGUGAGUCCCUGUCUUAAAAAUAAAGUAAAAUAAAACAAAGUAAAACUUUUUAUUAAAAAAACCCACAAUAUUUGCUUUCUAUAAAAAAUAGUUCUACUAGUUGAGUGUGUACUAUUUCAAGCAUGCGGUACUUGCUGUACAUGUUCUCUUGCUUAAUCUAUACAUUAAUAUUCUGAAAUAAUAUCCAAUUUUAAUACAUGUAAACCAAAGCUCAGAGGGAAUAAGUACUUUGCUUAAGGUUAUAUGGUUGGUAAGUACCUGAACUGAGAUGAAAAUGUAAGUCAGUUUUUGUCUCGAUUUAAGUAUUCUAAAACUCAUUGUUCUUUUUGCUAAAAUAUAGCUCAGUUUUACUCUUACAGUACUGUUGGAUAUUUUUUUAUCUUUAAGUAACUAUACAUUGAAAGUAUUGAAUAUUUCAUUUCAAAUUCUUGAGGGAAGGGUACAUUUAUUACUGUCAGUCUCAAAUGCAAGAACUUGACAAAUGUUAGCCAUAAUUAAGUGUUAGCAUUUGCUAUGUAUUUUAAAGUACAAAUGACAGUGCUAAGCACUUUCAUUCACAAGGAAGGAUGCGAAAUAUCUCUUGCUUUCAUGGGUCAUAUAACCUGUUUGGUUAGUCAGUCCCUGUAUUUGUGAUGACAGCUUAGCAAAUUGAUAGUGCUUAUCUUUAUGGCUCUUUAGUUGAACUUGAUUUUGAUCUAUUGAAAUGGAAGUAUUGGAAGUACUAACUUCACAUUACUUACACACUCACAAAAUAUGAGUUUAUCAAACAUGAGAAAAAUUAUUUAAAGAAACGAUAACACUGGCCUUUAAGCCCAUUUGAAGUUCUGUACUUUUUCGUAGUCUGCAGGAAACUUACAUCUUCAGAAACUCACUCAGAAGCAUUCUUGAGUUAUGAGACAAAUCAUUAAUAAUUAGGAACUCUAACAUGAAGUUUCCAAAUCCUUGAAAUCUUCCUAAGGAAAGGAGAUAUACACCCUUAAUAUGAAAUUGAACCUUUUGUUUCUUUUCUAAUAAGGGCAGGGCUGAUUUUAUCUUAUUUGAAAAAAUAUUUUGAUUUUGUCAUUUUAUUUUAAUAAAAACAUCUAGCUGAAUUCCUUCUUUGCUGUUUUCUCAAGUUUAUCUUGGCUAGAUGAAAUUCUCUUUCCUGAUGUUAGAUUAAAAUGUAAAAUGUGGUUAAUUGCACUUUCCUGCAUACUAUCAUCUUUAAAAAUUAAGUUAGAGAAGGUGAGAAAUGGGCUUAUACCUUCACCUUUCCUUUAAAAAUAAAACAGAUGUUAAUUAUUAUGUGGACAUACCAUAUUAUAAAGUUAUACCAUAGAGUCAUAGUUUCCCAGAAGUAUGUCAAUAUUAUAUUUUAAAUUGCAAAGAAAAGAUUAUAUCAGCAUAAUAGUUAGAUCCAAUGAACUGAGAGACACAAUUUUAUGGGAUAGCUAUUAAUGAGUUGCACAGUUCAAAUACAACUUCUGAGUUCACUUAAAUCUAGCUGUGCUAUGUAAAAAGACAAAGGAGGCAGUGAGAGCUUAGCUGGGUUUCAAACCCAUAAAGCUGGCUCUGAACAGCAUGAGUCACUCAGAGAUAAAGGCAUUCAGUGAUUUACUUGAAUCCAUUCGGUGCCAGCCUGGAAAAGAUUUGGGAAAUUAGCAGUGUCCUCACUUUUUUGAUGGCGUGGCUAAAGAAAGGCUAAUUCAUGAAAAGGAGAAACCCUUUUCAUUUGACAUUGGAUUUCCUCCUAGCUCAAACACAAAUGGCAUUACUAAUAACACAAUGUGCUGGGAGACUAGCAGGAUAUUGUGUCCCUUUAAGAAUAGGCUACCAUCUUGAGCAUAAUAACUAACUGGUGACCUGGGUAAUUUUGAAUCCAUAAACAAUUUCAUUUGACAGAUUAUCCCUUCUUGCUUAAAAAAAAAAAAGACAUCAAUAAGAGUUCACUAAUUUCCCAAGCAGCUGUGAUUUGUAAUGAACUUGACAGUUUCCAUUUUUACUCUGUGAAUGAUUUCUUGGCCUGGUUAGAACGUUUGAUUCAGGUACAUGCAGAUUCUUUGUGGAACAUUAGACUGAUAAACUAUGCUUACAAUGAGAAAGUACAUUAUCUGCCAUCUUUUCUCUUUGAAGAUGUUGACAGUCUGACCAUAAUUUGACCAUUAGCAUAACUGAGAAAUUGGGCUAUGUUAAGUUAACCACAAACUCAUCAUCAUGACCCUAGAUGGUAUUUGAGUCUCCUCCCCAAAGACAGCACUGCCUCUUCUGAAUUCAGGAAAGAUGUCAGAGCUCAUUUCCGGUUCAUCAAGGCCCACACAGGGUCUCCUUGUCAGUGGGUGGAAUGAUAUAGAAUGUAUGCUGGGACCUUCCCAGAGAUGGAAUGAAAGAAACAGGAAACAGUUACUUAAUGCUAAGAGCUUGUCAACCCCAGACUUCAGGAAAGACCAGAAGGUGAUCAAUCAUACUUUGACCUGAAUGCAUGUUUUGUCACAUUAUAUCUGUAGGAGCUGCAGCCAUGCUUUAUGUCUUCCUGUUGGCUUCCUUAUUCAGAAAGCACCAACCUAGGGUUGAUGGCUGUUCUUGCCCUCCAAGGUCACUUCAUGGCUGAAACUUGAAUGGGUUUCAUUGUAUCUUUAAGAGCAGCUCUUUCCUCAGUUUUCUAGUUACUAGCCUUGACAACCUGGAAAGAGUGUUUUACUUAUCCUCCUUAAUGUCCUCUGCACACGCAGAUGAUUUGCAGGGAGUAUGAUUCUACUUCUGGCCUUGGUUUCCCUCCCACCUAAAGUUUCUCUCUCUGUAAUUGGCACAGUCUCCUGAUACAUGGAUUGGAGUUAAACUUAUUUUAAAACCUGAUUUCUGCUAAUGUGCAUAUAUCAUCCCUAGUUCAAUAAUAAACCUUUUUUGUUGUUGCUCCUAGCAUAAUUUGUAAAUUACUUCCCAGAGCCGCCUUUACUAAAUGUCUGUGACCUUAUUGUCAAGAAAGGCUUGACAAGCAGAAGCUGCUGCCUGGGGGCUGGAAUGUCCCACUUCCUGUUCUUUCUCUCCAAGCUGCAGCAUUGUAUCCAAACAAAAACUGAACUCAGUGCACAUGUGACCCAGAAUUAGUUUGAAAUGAAACUCU
This 4050-nucleotide long non-coding RNA is filed under the name Homo sapiens (human). RNAcentral's name for it is "HSALNT0044262". The record is from RNAcentral. Lineage: Eukaryota; Metazoa; Chordata; Mammalia; Primates; Hominidae.